This 493-nucleotide ribosomal RNA is filed under the name uncultured bacterium. RNAcentral's name for it is "partial 16S ribosomal RNA". It matches the Rfam family "Bacterial small subunit ribosomal RNA", at positions 30 to 523 of the family's 1533-position model. The record is from RNAcentral.
AUUGAACGCUGGCGGCAUGCUUUACACAUGCAAGUCGAACGGUAACAGGUUAAGCUGACGAGUGGCGAACGGGUGAGUAAUGCAUCGGAACGUGCCCGGUCGUGGGGGAUAACACUUCGAAAGAAGUGCUAAUACCGCAUACGAUCUGAGGAUGAAAGCGGGGGACCGUAAGGCCUCGCGCGAUCGGAGCGGCCGAUGUCAGAUUAGGUAGUUGGUGGGGUAAAGGCCUACCAAGCCGACGAUCUGUAGCUGGUCUGAGAGGACGACCAGCCACACGGGGACUGAGACACGGCCCAGACUCCUACGGGAGGCAGCAGUGGGGAAUUUUGGACAAUGGGCGCAAGCCUGAUCCAGCAAUGCCGCGUGCAGGAAGAAGGCCUUCGGGUUGUAAACUGCUUUUGUACGGAGCGAAAAGGCUCUCUCUAAUACAGGGGGCUGAUGACGGUACCGUAAGAAUAAGCACCGGCUAACUACGUGCCAGCAGCCGCCGUAA